UAUUAUAUUGAGGACCUAUACUGAGA
This 26-nucleotide non-coding RNA is filed under the name Rattus norvegicus (Norway rat). Lineage: Eukaryota; Metazoa; Chordata; Mammalia; Rodentia; Muridae. The record is from RNAcentral.